CUAGAUACACGGGCCUCGAUCCCGUAAACAACUAAUUAACAGCUAGUCACUCUAUCCAGCGAGCUUCUAUCUA
This 73-nucleotide transfer RNA is filed under the name Dopasia harti (Hart's glass lizard). Its description in RNAcentral is "tRNA-Asn". Lineage: Eukaryota; Metazoa; Chordata; Lepidosauria; Squamata; Anguidae. The record is from RNAcentral.